ACUUCUGCCUGGCUGCCAAUGACCAAAACAAUGUGACCAUCGUGGCUAACCUGAAGGUUAAAGGUCAGGCGACCCUUGCCACGUGGCUGGCAGUGCCUCUGGGAGGGAGGGUCCGGGCCUCUGGAGGACAGCAGUGUGACUUCCCCACGCACGCAUUACCCUCAGAUGCAACUCAGAUCACUCAGGGGCCCCGCAGCGCAAUCGAGAAGAAAGGUUCGAGGGUGACCUUCACGUGCCAGGCCUCCUUUGACCCCUCCUUGCAGCCCAGCAUCACCUGGCGUGGGGACGGUCGAGAUCUCCAGGAGCUUGGGGACAGUGACAAGUACUUCAUAGAGGAUGGGCGCCUGGUCAUCCACAGCCUGGACUACAGCGACCAGGGCAACUACAGCUGCGUGGCCAGCACUGAACUGGAUGUCGUGGAGAGUAGGGCACAGCUCUUGGUGGUGGGGAGCCCCGGGCCGGUGCCACGGCUGGUGCUGUCCGACCUGCACCUGCUGACGCAGAGCCAGGUGCGCGUGUCCUGGAGUCCUGCGGAAGACCACAAUGCCCCCAUUGAGAAAU
RNAcentral lists this small RNA (561 nucleotides) under Pongo abelii (Sumatran orangutan). RNAcentral describes it as "retained intron". Lineage: Eukaryota; Metazoa; Chordata; Mammalia; Primates; Hominidae. The record is from RNAcentral.